RNAcentral lists this ribosomal RNA (460 nucleotides) under uncultured bacterium. RNAcentral's name for it is "partial 16S ribosomal RNA". It matches the Rfam family "Bacterial small subunit ribosomal RNA", at positions 338 to 795 of the family's 1533-position model. The record is from RNAcentral.
CCUACGGGUGGCAGCAGUGAGGAAUAUUGGUCAAUGGACGGAAGCCUGAACCAGCCAUGCCGCGUGCAGGAAGACGGCUCUAUGAGUUGUAAACUUCUUUUGUACAAGGGUAAACCUGAAUACGUGUAUUCAGCUGAGAGUACUGGACGAAUAAGGAUCGGCUAACUCCGUGCCAGCAGCCGCGGUAAUACGGAGGAUGCAAGCGUUAUCCGGAUUUAUUGGGUUUAAAGGGUGCGUAGGCGGAUUGAUAAGUUAGAGGUUAAAUGUCCGAGCUUAACUCGGGAACUGCCUUUAAUACUGUUUAUCUAGAGAGUAGAUGAGGUAGGCGGAAUGUAUGGUGUAGCGGUGAAAUGCUUAGAGAUCAUACAGAACACCGAUUGCGAAGGCAGCUUACCAAUCUAUAUCUGACGUUGAGGCACGAAAGCGUGGGGAUCAAACAGGAUUAGAUACCCUUGUAGUC